RNAcentral lists this unclassified non-coding RNA (164 nucleotides) under uncultured Helotiaceae. RNAcentral's name for it is "sequence contains ITS1". Lineage: Eukaryota; Fungi; Ascomycota; Leotiomycetes; Helotiales; Helotiaceae. The record is from RNAcentral.
CAGAGUUCAUGCCCUUCGGGGUAGACCUCCCACCCUGUUUAUAUACUAUUGUUGCUUUGGCAGGUGCCCUCACCAUGGGGCGUCCGGGUUCCGCCCGCGUCUCGCCUGCCAAAAGCCCCACUAAUUCUGUGUUCUGUGUCGUCUGAGUACUAUAUAAUAAGUUA